GGACAGAUCUCUGGAGAUCUCUUCAAUGAGAGCCGAAGGGGCAUAGGCGGAAACGCUGUAAUCUCUCAGGCCAAAGGACAGAGCCGAUUUC
Dialister sp. CAG:486 is the source of this 91-nucleotide regulatory RNA element. It matches the Rfam family "Glycine riboswitch aptamer". Rfam says of the family: This family represents the bacterial glycine riboswitch. Glycine riboswitches usually consist of two metabolite-binding aptamers domains with similar structures in tandem. Lineage: Bacteria; Bacillati; Bacillota; Negativicutes; Veillonellales; Veillonellaceae. The record is from Rfam.